AUGAGCACCUUCAUUGGAAAAAAUCUGCACUGUGCUAGUCUGAUGAGACAGCGAGAAAAUGAGGAGUUCAAGUCAGCUCCUGGGCUCCUGUUGUUCUGGCUUCAUGGUGCUCAGUGUGACAUCCAGAUGACACAGUCUCCUCCCUCCUUGUCUGCAUCUCUGGGAGACAAAGUCACCAUCACUUGCCAGGCAAGUCAAAACAUUAACAAGUAUAUAGCUUGGUAUCAGCAAACGCCUGGAAAAGCUCCUAGGCUGCUCAUACGUUACACAUCUACACUAGAGUCCGGCAUCCCAUCGAGGUUCAGUGGCAGUGGAUCUGGGAGAGAUUAUUCAUUCAGCAUCAGCAACGUGGAGUCUGAAGAUAUUGCAAGUUAUUACUGUCUACGGUAUGAUAACCUUCCUCCCACAGUGAUACAAGUCAUAACAUAA
Rattus rattus (black rat) is the source of this 429-nucleotide non-coding RNA. The record is from the annotation of a RefSeq genome assembly. NCBI's taxonomy places the organism in Eukaryota, Metazoa, Chordata, Mammalia, Rodentia, Muridae.